UGAGAAGAUAGUGGCGAACGGGUGGGUAACAACGUGGGUAACCUGCCCAUAAGAGGGGGAUAACAUCCGGAAACGGUGCUAAUACCGCAUAGUUUCUUGAUCGCAUGAUUGAGAAAGGAAAGACGGCCUUUGUGCUGUCGCUUAUGGAUGGACCCGCGGCGUAUUAGUUAGUUGGUGAGGUAACGGCUCACCAAGACGAUGAUACGUAGCCGACCUGAGAGGGUGAUCGGCCACAUUGGGACUGAGACACGGCCCAAACUCCUACGGGAGGCAGCAGUAGGGAAUCUUCCGCAAUGGACGAAAGUCUGACGGAGCAACGCCGCGUGAGUGAAGAAAGGUUUUCGGAUCGUAAAACUCUGUUGUCAGAGAAGAACAAGUUGGAGAGUAACUGCUCCAGCCUUGACGGUAUCUGACCAGAAAGCCACGGCUAACUACGUGCCAGCCGCUGC
Molecule: ribosomal RNA, 449 nt
Filed under: uncultured bacterium
Lineage: Bacteria
Description: bacterial SSU rRNA
Rfam family: Bacterial small subunit ribosomal RNA
Source: RNAcentral